CGCGUAGGCGGCUCGGAAAGUCGGGUGUGAAAAUCCGGGGCUCAACCCCGGACUUGCAUCCGAUACUCCCGGGCUGGAGGCAGACAGGGGAGAGCGGAAUUCCUGGUGUAGCGGUGAAAUGCGCAGAUAUCAGGAGGAACACCGGUGGCGAAGGCGGCUCUCUGGGUCUGUCCUGACGCUCAGGCGCGAAAGCUAGGGGAGCAAACA
Molecule: ribosomal RNA, 207 nt
Filed under: uncultured bacterium
Lineage: Bacteria
Description: partial 16S ribosomal RNA
Rfam family: Bacterial small subunit ribosomal RNA
Source: RNAcentral